This 346-nucleotide ribosomal RNA is filed under the name Cambarus stockeri. RNAcentral's name for it is "partial large subunit ribosomal RNA". The record is from RNAcentral. Lineage: Eukaryota; Metazoa; Arthropoda; Malacostraca; Decapoda; Cambaridae.
UCUGUCUUAGAUUAAUAAAUUGAAUUUAACUUUUAAGUGAAAAGGCUUAAAUAAUCUGAAGGGACGAUAAGACCCUAUAAAACUUUAUAUUGAAAAGUAGUGAAGUAUGAUUUGUUUAAAGGUUAUUACUUUAAAGUAUUUGGUUGGGGCGACAAGAAUAGAAUGGAAAGUAACUGUUUUUUUUUUUUACAAUGAUAUUUGGGUGGAUGAUCCUAAAAUGGAUUAAAGAUUAAGUUACUUUAGGGAUAACAGCGUAAUUUUCUUUGAGAGUUCUUAUCGAUAAGAACGUUUGCGACCUCGAUGUUGAAUUAAAGGUUCUUUAUGGAGUAGAGACUAUAGAAGAGGG